GACGAACGCUGGCGGCGUGCUUAACACAUGCAAGUCGAACGGAAAGGCCCUGCUUUUGUGGGGUGCUCGAGUGGCGAACGGGUGAGUAACACGUGAGUAACCUGCCCUUGACUUUGGGAUAACUUCAGGAAACUGGGGCUAAUACCGGAUAGGAGCUCCUGCUGCAUGGUGGGGGUUGGAAAGUUUCGGCGGUUGGGGAUGGUCUCGCGGCUUAUCAGCUUGUUGGUGGGGUAGUGGCUUACCAAGGCUUCGACGGGUAGCCGGCCUGAGAGGGUGACCGGCCACAUUGGGACUGAGAUACGGCCCAGACUCCUACGGGAGGCAGCAGUGGGGAAUAUUGCACAAUGGGCGGAAGCCUGAUGCAGCAACGCCGCGUGCGGGAUGACGGCCUUCGGGUUGUAAACCGCUUUCGCCUGUGACGAAGCGGGAGUGACGGUAAUGGGUAAAGAAGCACCGGCUAACUACGUG
This 468-nucleotide ribosomal RNA is filed under the name uncultured bacterium. Its description in RNAcentral is "partial 16S ribosomal RNA". It matches the Rfam family "Bacterial small subunit ribosomal RNA", at positions 28 to 507 of the family's 1533-position model. The record is from RNAcentral.